RNAcentral lists this transfer RNA (103 nucleotides) under Nitrososphaerota archaeon. Its description in RNAcentral is "tRNA-OTHER". It matches the Rfam family "tRNA". From Rfam's summary of the family: Transfer RNA (tRNA) molecules are approximately 80 nucleotides in length. Their secondary structure includes four short double-helical elements and three loops (D, anti-codon, and T loops). The record is from RNAcentral. Lineage: Archaea; Thermoproteati; Nitrososphaerota.
GGGCUGGUCGUCUAGUCUGGUAGGAUACGGCUAAGCGCGUCCAAUCCCUUGGCAAAGAAAUCCAGACUGGGAGAGGUCGGGGGUUCGAAUCCCCCCCAGUCCA